GGUUCUAUGGGGUAAUAGGGUUCUUAAUGGGGGUCAAUUGGUUCUUAGUGGGGUAAAAUAGGGUUCUAUGGGGGUAAUUGGGGUUCUAUGGGGGGUAAUAAGGGUCUAUGGGGGGGGUAAUUGGGUUCUAUGGGGGGGUAAUUGGGUUCUAUGGGGUAUCUUGGGUCUAUGGGGGGGGUUAAUAGGGUCUAAUGGGGGGGUAAUUGGGUCUAUGGGGGGUAAUUGGUUUGUCUAUGGGGGGUAAUAUGGGU
Molecule: long non-coding RNA, 251 nt
Filed under: Coturnix japonica (Japanese quail)
Lineage: Eukaryota; Metazoa; Chordata; Aves; Galliformes; Phasianidae
Description: lncRNA (ENSCJPG00005001513.1)
Source: RNAcentral